Molecule: ribosomal RNA, 433 nt
Filed under: uncultured bacterium
Lineage: Bacteria
Description: partial 16S ribosomal RNA
Rfam family: Bacterial small subunit ribosomal RNA
Source: RNAcentral
GACGAACGCUGGCGGCAUGCCUAACACAUGCAAGUCGAACGAGACCUUCGGGUCUAGUGGCUCACGGGUGCGUAACGCGUGGGAACCUGCCUUUAGGUUCGGAAUAACUCAGAGAAAUUUGAGCUAAUACCGGAGGAUGUCUUCGGACCAAAGAUUUAUCGCCUUUAGAUGGGCCCGCGUUGGAUUGGCGAGUUGGUGGGGUAAAGGCCUACCAAGGCGACGAGCCAUAGCUGGUCUGAGCGGAUGAUCAGCCACACUGGGACUGAGACACGGCCCAGACUCCUACGGGAGGCAGCAGUGGGGAAUAUUGGACAAUGGGCGAAAGCCUGAUCCAGCAAUGCCGCGUGAGUGAUGAAGGCCUUAGGGUUGUAAAGCUCUUUUACCCGAGAUGAUAAUGACAGUAGCGGGAGAAUAAGCUCCGGCUAACUACGUG